GAUUGGUAUGGGCGGAAGCCUGAACCAGCCAUGCCGCGUGCAGGAAGACGGCCCUACGGGCUGUAAACUGCUUUUAUACGGGAAUAAACCUUGAUACGUGUAUCAAGCUGAAUGUACUGUAAGAAUAAGGAUCGGCUAACUCCGUGCCAGCAGCCGCGGUAAUACGGAGGAUCCAAGCGUUAUCCGGAUUUAUUGGGUUUAAAGGGUGCGUAGGUGGCCUGUUAAGUCAGGGGUGAAAGACGGUAGCUUAACUAUCGCAGUGCCCUUGAUACUGAUGGGCUUGAAUGAACUAGAGGUAGGCGGAAUGUGACAAGUAGCGGUGAAAUGCAUAGAUAUGUCACAGAACACCAAUUGCGAAGGCAGCUUACUAUGGUUUUAUUGACACUGAGGCACGAAAGCGUGGGGAUCAAACAGGAUUAGAUACCCUGGUAGUCCACGCCCUAAACGAUGAAUACUCGAUGUUGGCGAUAUACGGUCAGCGUCUAAGCGAAAGCGUUAAGUAUUCCACCUGGGGAGUACGCCCGCAAGGGUGAAACUCAAAGAAAUUGACGGA
This 553-nucleotide ribosomal RNA is filed under the name uncultured bacterium. Its description in RNAcentral is "bacterial SSU rRNA". It matches the Rfam family "Bacterial small subunit ribosomal RNA", at positions 359 to 917 of the family's 1533-position model. The record is from RNAcentral.